Molecule: long non-coding RNA, 1055 nt
Organism: Xiphophorus maculatus (southern platyfish)
Lineage: Eukaryota; Metazoa; Chordata; Actinopteri; Cyprinodontiformes; Poeciliidae
Exons: 4
Source: RefSeq, a predicted model, not a curated record
GGCUACUCAAAGUGUAAUUCAUCUGAUGUUGACGCCACGCACGGCUGUAAUAAACAGGAAGUAGCGGUUGCAAACUAGGAUGGACCACACAUCUCAGAAAAACAGAGAAAAGUUUCCAGGAAUGUCUUGCUAUCAGGCACGUUGUAAUUGUUCUUUCAUGUCAACUAGUGUUGUCGAUGCUACACGAUGUCCAGAGACGUAGAGAAAGAAAUGCAACUCUAAUGGACGCCAACAGCGGAAACAGCUGCUCAGUGAUGUCAGAACAUAGCAUGGAGCUCAGACUCCCAGAGGCCUGCGGGAAUCACAGCUGCAGCUCUGAGCCGCACAUCAACCCUCAGCUGAGGAUUACAGCAGCAGAAACAAACAAACAAGGCCGUCUGCGGGUCCGUGCCACAGACCAGGUAACUGUGUCCUGAUUGGCCACAAGAGGGAAGCAGCUGGUCACAGAGAGAUGGGGCGGGAUCCAAGUUCAUGGAAAGAACUACACAGUUUCUCAGAAGUUUGAAAAACUUCGGGUCCGAUCUUGGUGCACCUGACCCAGGUUAGCCAUCCGCCUCGCUCGCCACGGUCAGGGCUUCGUGAUGGACUUCCUGUCUGAUGUCUUGAGACAUAUUUCAAUAUCUUCUUCCCUCGUGAUUUAUGUUGCGAUGUUCUUCCUGCAGUGAAACCAGACGACAGUAUGAUCCUGCUACCUCUGUGCUUCAAAGCUGGGAUGGUUUUACAAGACUCAUUGUUUUUCUACCAAAUGUCAUUAUGGCCAAACGCUUUCAUUUCUGUCUCAUCAGAUCCCAGGACUUGUGUGCAAAAUUCUACAUCUUUGUUCCUCAGUACUUUUGCUUCUUCCUCUCUGAGUGGCCUUUCAGUCCAUGUAAGAGCAGAACUCACUUCUCUGGAUAAUUAUGCUGUUACCAGCUUAAAGGUCUUUAGCUUUUGUUGUUGGGUCUGUUUGCUCACUUCACACCACAGAACCCAUCUUCGUUCUGAAUGCUGUGAUGGAACAGAUGAAUGUAGAACCUUCAGGCAUCUGGACAUUUCCCUAAGGAUGAACCAGACUU